AGCAGCCGCGGUAAUUCCAGCUCCAAUAGCGUAUAUUAAAGUUGUUGCAGUUAAAAAGCUCGUAGUUGAAUUUCGGGAUCAAGGAAUCGGUCAUGCCUCGGUAUGUACUGGUUUUAUUGGUUCUCACCUUCUAAAGAACCAUAAUGUCAUUCAUUUGAUGUUAUGGGGAAUUAGGACUGUUACCUUGAAAAAAUUAGAGUGUUUAAAGCAGGCUUACGCUUGAAUACAUUAGCAUGGAAUAAUGAAAUAGGACAUCAGAUUCUAUUUUGUUGGUUUCUAGGAUCGAUGUAAUGAUUAAUAGGGAUAGUUGGGGGCAUUAGUAUUCAAUUGUCAGAGGUGAAAUUCUUGGAUUUAUUGAAGACUAACUACUGCGAAAGCAUUUGCCAAGGAUGUUUUCAUUAAUCAAGAACGAAAGUUAGGGGAUCGAAGACGAUCAGAUACCGUCGUAGUCUUAACCAUAAACUAUGCCGACUAGGGAUCGGAUGAUGUUAAUUUUAUAAUGACUCAUUCGGCACCUUACG
RNAcentral lists this ribosomal RNA (521 nucleotides) under uncultured Glomeraceae. Its description in RNAcentral is "SSU rRNA". It matches the Rfam family "Eukaryotic small subunit ribosomal RNA", at positions 569 to 1092 of the family's 1831-position model. The record is from RNAcentral. Lineage: Eukaryota; Fungi; Glomeromycota; Glomeromycetes; Glomerales; Glomeraceae.